UAAUACGUAGGGACCAAGCGUUGUCCGGAAUCAUUGGGCGUAAAGAGCGUGUAGGCGGCUUGUUAAGUCUUGCGUGAAAUCUCGGGGCUCAACCCCGAGCGGUCGUGAGAAACUGGCAGGCUAGAGUGCGGGAGAGGAGAGUGGAAUUCCUGGUGUAGCGGUGAAAUGCGCAGAUAUCAGGAAGAACACCCGUGGCGAAGGCGGCUCUCUGGAACGCAACUGACGCUGAGACGCGAAAGCGUGGGGAGCAAACAGGAUUAGAUACCCUGGUAGUCCACGCCGUAAACGAUGGAUGCUAGGUGUGGGCGGUGUCGACUCCGUCCGUGCCGAAGCUAACGCAUUAAGCAUCCCGCCUGGGGAGUACGGCCGCAAGGCUA
This 377-nucleotide ribosomal RNA is filed under the name uncultured bacterium. RNAcentral describes it as "bacterial SSU rRNA". It matches the Rfam family "Bacterial small subunit ribosomal RNA", at positions 521 to 896 of the family's 1533-position model. The record is from RNAcentral.